RNAcentral lists this ribosomal RNA (757 nucleotides) under uncultured Halomonas sp. Its description in RNAcentral is "bacterial SSU rRNA". It matches the Rfam family "Bacterial small subunit ribosomal RNA", at positions 28 to 776 of the family's 1533-position model. The record is from RNAcentral. Lineage: Bacteria; Pseudomonadati; Pseudomonadota; Gammaproteobacteria; Oceanospirillales; Halomonadaceae.
AUUGAACGCUGGCGGCAGGCCUAACACAUGCAAGUCGAGCGGAAACGAUGGAAGCUUGCUUCCAGGCGUCGAGCGGCGGACGGGUGAGUAAUGCAUAGGAAUCUGCCCGAUAGUGGGGGAUAACGUGGGGAAACUCACGCUAAUACCGCAUAUGUCCUACGGGAGAAAGCAGGGGAUCUUCGGACCUUGCGCUAUCGGAUGAGCCUAUGUCGGAUUAGCUGGUUGGUGAGGUAACGGCUCACCAAGGCGACGAUCCGUAGCUGGUCUGAGAGGAUGAUCAGCCACACUGGGACUGAGACACGGCCCAGACUCCUACGGGAGGCAGCAGUGGGGAAUAUUGGACAAUGGGGGAAACCCUGAUCCAGCCAUGCCGCGUGUGUGAAGAAGGCCUUCGGGUUGUAAAGCACUUUCAGCGAGGAAGAAGGCCUGAGGGCUAAUACCCUUCAGGAAGGACAUCACUCGCAGAAGAAGCACCGGCUAACUCCGUGCCAGCAGCCGCGGUAAUACGGAGGGUGCGAGCGUUAAUCGGAAUUACUGGGCGUAAAGCGCGCGUAGGUGGCUUGAUAAGCCGGUUGUGAAAGCCCCGGGCUCAACCUGGGAACGGCAUCCGGAACUGUCAGGCUAGAGUGCAGGAGAGGAAGGUAGAAUUCCCGGUGUAGCGGUGAAAUGCGUAGAGAUCGGGAGGAAUACCAGUGGCGAAGGCGGCCUUCUGGACUGACACUGACACUGAGGUGCGAAAGCGUGGGUAGCAAACAGG